This 2475-nucleotide long non-coding RNA is filed under the name Brassica napus (rape). RNAcentral's name for it is "long non-coding RNA (BNAP_LNC017308)". Lineage: Eukaryota; Viridiplantae; Streptophyta; Magnoliopsida; Brassicales; Brassicaceae. The record is from RNAcentral.
UCUUCCCUUUCUUGCAAACAUCUGCUGCAUCCCUUACAAGUGUCUCAUCAUGAUUUCACCAACCUGAAACCAUCACUGCUUUGAGAUCAUCCUCUGUGAACGUUUGUUCCUCUGUCUCUGACGUCGUUGUUGUCUACCACAAACGAACGCCAUCUGCUUUCUCUGACGCUACCUGUUCAAUGUCAUCUUUGGUUUGUCACACUUACUGUGAUCGUGACUACAAAUCUAUAGAUUCUUCUUCUCCAGAAUUUCCAGCUGAUGUCGAUGCUAACUUGAAGCUCUUGCAGAACUUGAAGAGGGGCAAGGAAGCUGUCGAGGAGAUGAAAGACUGUCGAUCGAUGAAACAGCAUUGGUGUCGGUCAACAGUGAUGCCAAAAUAUGGGCUGAGCAUAUUUUAUGACCGACUGAAGCCCAGAAGCAACCACAAAUUACCAGAAUACCGUUGGACGACCAGAAACCCUAUUUAUGUGUUUUCUAAGCCAUUGUUGACGGCUAAGCUUUAUUUUAUUCAUAGUUGUAAGUUAGGAGAGAAGAGAGGAACUCCUUCAGAGUCCUCUUGGAACUCCAUUGUUUUGGUUUUAUUUAUAUUUUAUGUUAUUCAUCUAUUCAUCUAUGAUUUCUGUGACAAACAUCAUGCAUGAGUAGAUCCACCUGCUAAGUUUAGGAAUUUCUAGGGUUUUGAAUGAAUUUCUGAAUUGUAUGAUCGUUAGGAUAUCUAAAGAUCUCUACAUCAGGAUAGCUUGUAAUAGUAGGAUCUAGAUUAGUUGGAAACCCACGAGAGUGUGACUAAUUGCUUGAACCUAGAAUCAUAGGACAAUUGAGAGGCACGAGAGUGCAAUCAAUUAACAGAACCUGAAUCCUACUGGAUUAGAUACCUAGGCGCAUACGAGAGGUGGUCUAGGAAUCUAGUUGAACAUAAUCGAUCAGAUCGAUAACGCUUACCUAAGGCAGUGUCGAUCGACGCUUAUACCAUAGCAUCGAUCGACAGUCAAUCCGUAGAAUCGAUCGACGCUCAUACCAUAGCAUCAAUCGAUGCUCAAUCUGUGUUAACAUGCGAGAGCUGAAACACUGAACUUAGUCAAUAGAUUAGACUCACAGCGAGAGCUGGUUGUCUUUUGCAUUAGAUAUCGAGUUCUAGAAUCAAUCCUUAGCAUCUAUAGUUUAGAGUUCUAAUAACCUAAAUGAAACCCUAAGUCUAGUAACCAUCCUUCCAUCAAACAAAUCUCUGCCAAGCUGAACAAUUGUCUUGUUCAACUUGUUUACUACUUUAUUACUGAUUUGCAUUAUUUAUUUACUGAUUUAUAAACUAGUAGCCUAGCUUAAUCGUAUAACUAUUAGAUCUAAUUGGUUUCGUAGCUCCCUGUGAAUUUGAUCCCUAAGUACUACAACUCGACCUCUUAUUUGAGAGAGUAUAAAUCACUCCUUAGGGUAAUUUGAGUGAUAUCACCUUUGACCAUAAUCUUCAAGCUAAGUCUAACCUUGAAUCGCCUUUUCCCUUUAGGUUCUUCAUGUCACUCACACGGCCUCACUAAAGCUGCUACAUGCUGUUACCACAAAUAGCCAUUUGCUUUAGCAUAUACUUGUGUAGGAUUUUACACACUUUUCCCUUGCUCUAGUUUCCUCUUCGUGGAGGUACACCAUGUUUCAGUCACACUAACUUGGUGACUCCUCUGACUUUCUUCUACCAGCCAGAAACCAUUCCUCUCAUGCACCCACGAGCCUGACUUGAACUGACCCAAAACAAAUCACCUUUGUUUCGUCAUAUUGUUGUCACACGAAAACCAACAUGUGCAGCUGCAAGAUCUGUUGGUCAUCUUUCGCUAAGAUAACUUGCAUUCCUUGUGAUCUCUGGAAAAAAAACCUUUAGUCCCUGUGAGAUUGACGACCUUGGAUUCCAUCUCCUUAAGUCUAGCUUUGACUUAAUGUGAGUCUGUCUUCCCUUGAGAUAUCCUCCAUCUCAGACGACUCAAAACAAUCUCCAACACUGAUCACUAACACGCCCACCUGUGCAACUGUUUUUGCUGCUGCUUACGCGGGUCUUCCCUUUCUUGCAAACAUCUGCUGCAUCCCUUACAAGUGUCUCAUCAUGAUUUCACCAACUUGAAACCAUCACGUGCUUUGAGAUCAUCCUCUGUGAACGUUUCUUCCUCUGUGUCUGAUGCCGUUGUUGUCUACCACAAACGAAUGCCAUCUGCUUUCUCUGACACUACCUGUUCAACGUCAUCUUUGGUUUGUCACACUUACUGUGAUCGUGACUACAAAUCUACUUAUUCUUCUUCUCCAGAAUUUCCAGCUGAUGUCGAUGCUAACUUGAAGUUCAUGCAGAACCUGAAUGACCACUGCCUCAAACCAGAAGCUCUUUGACUCAAUCCUUAUCCAACCUCAAUAGCCCGUAGACACCAAACUCCUCAUCCUAAGAAUUUCCUUUGUAACAAUCUGAAUGAACACCUUGCCUUGAACAUCACUCUGAACCGC